This 410-nucleotide ribosomal RNA is filed under the name Salmonella enterica. Its description in RNAcentral is "bacterial SSU rRNA". It matches the Rfam family "Bacterial small subunit ribosomal RNA", at positions 46 to 452 of the family's 1533-position model. Lineage: Bacteria; Pseudomonadati; Pseudomonadota; Gammaproteobacteria; Enterobacterales; Enterobacteriaceae. The record is from RNAcentral.
GCCUAACACAUGCAAGUCGAACGGUAACAGGAAGCAGCUUGCUGCUUCGCUGACGAGUGGCGGACGGGUGAGUAAUGUCUGGGAAACUGCCUGAUGGAGGGGGAUAACUACUGGAAACGGUAGCUAAUACCGCAUAACGUCGCAAGACCAAAGUGGGGGACCUUCGGGCCUCAUGCCAUCAGAUGUGCCCAGAUGGGAUUAGCUUGUUGGUGAGGUAACGGCUCACCAAGGCGACGAUCCCUAGCUGGUCUGAGAGGAUGACCAGCCACACUGGAACUGAGACACGGUCCAGACUCCUACGGGAGGCAGCAGUGGGGAAUAUUGCACAAUGGGCGCAAGCCUGAUGCAGCCAUGCCGCGUGUAUGAAGAAGGCCUUCGGGUUGUAAAGUACUUUCAGUGAGGAGGAAGGC